Molecule: long non-coding RNA, 593 nt
Filed under: Phasianus colchicus (ring-necked pheasant)
Lineage: Eukaryota; Metazoa; Chordata; Aves; Galliformes; Phasianidae
Description: lncRNA (ENSPCLG00000021967.1)
Source: RNAcentral
GUAGGCAUGGACAGUAAUUUUUGGAGUAAAUAACAACUUCAGUUCACAGAACUAGUAGCUUUUUCAUCCUAGCAGCUGAAGCAAGCAGCUAAGUGAAUGGCUGCUCGUUAAAAUUACACUGUAGGUCUGGUUGGUAACAAUCCACAUCUGUCAGACUGAAGAUGAAAGUGGGUGCACCUUUGUCAAAGCACUGAGUAGGCUGAGGACAGCUGUUGUCAGUCUGUCUGUGCUAAUCUGAGAAUGAAAUUGAGAUGGAGACAAGGACUGCAUAUCUCUUUCAGUGGUCCUCAGUGGAUGCGUAUGUUUGAUGAUGAUGAUUUAUUGGAGACUUUUCUACUGCUCUGCUCUAUCUGACUGCAGCCAGUCCAUAUACUUACCACCUGAAGGUAAGACUGAAGCGUACCUACUGAGCUUAUAGCUGUGAGAGGUGGGGAAACUAUAGGAAAAACUUGCAUGUUCCCUGCAAAAAUAAGCCUCCACCUGGGGAACAAAGCAACAAUGUCACACUCCAUAAAACAAAAACAAAUGUAGGUUAGGUCUUCUGCUGUGAGCCUUCUCCUGGGAAAUAAACUGUGAUAAUCCGGGAGCUUGCA